RNAcentral lists this long non-coding RNA (211 nucleotides) under Elaeis guineensis (African oil palm). RNAcentral describes it as "long non-coding RNA (EGUI_LNC068574)". Lineage: Eukaryota; Viridiplantae; Streptophyta; Magnoliopsida; Arecales; Arecaceae. The record is from RNAcentral.
AAAAGUAAUUUUUAAAAAUUUUAAAAACAUACAAAUCAAUAAUUUUAUCAAAUAAAAUUAUCGAGCUGGAAUCCAAAUCCUAGAAUCACCUUGUCAAUAUCUAUCAAAGUAAAAUCAAGCAUGCAAAGAGAUAGAAUUUUAUACUUAGACCAAUAUGAAAAAGUGGCACGUUGGUGUUCUCUACGAGACUCUAAAGUAGAAGUCCUCCAGC